GCAUAUCAAUAAGCGGAGGAAAAGAAACCAACCGGGAUUGCCUUAGUAACGGCGAGUGAAGCGGCAAAAGCUCAAAUUUGAAAUCUGGUACCUUCGGUGCCCGAGUUGUAAUUUGGAGAGGGCAACUUUGGGGCCGUUCCUUGUCUAUGUUCCUUGGAACAGGACGUCAUAGAGGGUGAGAAUCCCGUGUGGCGAGGAGUGCGGUUCUUUGUAAAGUGCCUUCGAAGAGUCGAGUUGUUUGGGAAUGCAGCUCUAAGUGGGUGGUAAAUUCCAUCUAAAGCUAAAUAUUGGCGAGAGACCGAUAGCGAACAAGUACAGUGAUGGAAAGAUGAAAAGAACUUUGAAAAGAGAGUGAAAAAGUACGUGAAAUUGUUGAAAGGGAAGGGCAUCUGAUCAGACAUGGUGUUUUGUGCCCUCUGCUCCUUGUGGGUAGGGGAAUCUCGCAUUUCACUGGGCCAGCAUCAGUUUUGGUGGCAGGAUAAAUCCAUAGGAAUGUAGCUUGCCUCGGUAAGUAUUAUAGCCUGUGGGAAUACUGCCAGCUGGGACUGAGGACUGCGACGUAAGUCAAGGAUGCUGGCAUAAUGGUUAUAUGCCGCCCGUCUUGAAACACGGACC
Molecule: ribosomal RNA, 615 nt
Filed under: uncultured yeast
Lineage: Eukaryota; Fungi
Description: eukaryotic LSU rRNA
Rfam family: Eukaryotic large subunit ribosomal RNA
Source: RNAcentral